CAAAAGGGUCUUAUGAUUAUGAGAAAAAUCUUUUAAAGUCUUUAUCUGUAACAGGAUUUUUUUUUCUUAAUCCAAACUCUGCUAGCCUGCGUUUUGAUUAAUUUUUAAAAUUUAUUUAAGUCUCACACCUAGAAUAUGCAUUUCCUCUUCUAUAUUUUUAAGUGCUUCAGAUAUUUUUAAACAAUUUCCAUUACUAGAAGGCUCAGACUAGAAUUUGUGAAUUGGAUGCUCAUGCUUCACCUACUGAAAACUUCAGGCCUUAAUUGUGAACCAAAAUAUUUUAAAACAAAGCAAAGGGAAGUCUUUGUUUUUAAAGGAAGGAGUCACACAUAUUCCUCUGGGGAACUAGUCCAGUUGAUAAGACUUUGAUCCCUAUGGCUCAUGCAGCAGCCUUUGGCAGCCAGCUGGACCUUCUGUGGUUGACAAUUUAGAGAAUGCAUUUCCUCCUUGCUAUCUACAGCCAAUACACACUCUGUCUCUGUCUUUCAAAAACUCUUGUACCUGUUUCUCGUUGCUGGUCAUUGGCUAUUUGGCCUCCUUUAUGAGCCAAGGGUGAAAGCUGUGGAAGCAUGUGGGUUUCCAUUCAGUUUGAUCCCUUGCAGGAGAGGACAUCCUUGUCCUUAUGGCCAACAGCUGGCAGCCUGGUUGGUGCUUUCAGAUGAAUUAAGUGUGAUGCCAUAUCUUAACAGAACUUCUGGGGCAGUCAGAUGAAGAAGAGCCAUCUUGUGAAGCUUUCCCUGACCAAUCUGCAGGGCAGGGAGGAGGGUGCAGCCCGCCUGCGUCCAGCCCUGCCGACAGACCACCAGCACCAAGCUGCUCCCACGGACCCACCAGCCGCAGACAAGCAGAGGACACUGAGCCUGGAGCAAAUGGCCACACCACCUCCCUGAUCCAGAAAACCAUGUCCAGCAGCCAGAAGGGUAAGUGAGCAAGUCUCUUUCAGUGGGAUGAAGCUAGAAAUAUUGGUAAUUCAUAUCUUGAACAUUCAUUUGGGUCCAGGAGAAAAAAGCAAGGCACUGCAGCAUGAGCUCAGUUUGUGUAUUCCUAGCAGGGAAAGGCAGAAGGACUCGGCUACUGGCUCAUGGAAAGUUGAAUAAGUCAACCAAUCACCUGGAUCUCCUUAUCUAGCAGCAGUAUCCCUG
Molecule: long non-coding RNA, 1142 nt
Filed under: Lonchura striata (white-rumped munia)
Lineage: Eukaryota; Metazoa; Chordata; Aves; Passeriformes; Estrildidae
Description: domestica (Bengalese finch) lncRNA (ENSLSDG00000016419.1)
Source: RNAcentral